AUGUCAUUCUCAUGAUGAGUGUGUAUUCACUUGUCAUUGCACGAGACUGUGGCGGUAAAAGGGAUGUCCAGUCCCAAAAAUAAAUGGAAUGUGAUGGUAUGGAAGGCACCCGUGAAUUCGGUUAGCCAUGGAUUGUGAAAAGUAAUGGUGGAAACAAAAAAAAUAUUCUCUUGGAUGUGACAUUAGAAAGACCAAAGUCUUGAUGACACUC
Molecule: long non-coding RNA, 211 nt
Filed under: Hordeum vulgare
Lineage: Eukaryota; Viridiplantae; Streptophyta; Magnoliopsida; Poales; Poaceae
Description: long non-coding RNA (HVUL_LNC008761)
Source: RNAcentral